Molecule: ribosomal RNA, 164 nt
Filed under: uncultured bacterium
Lineage: Bacteria
Description: partial 16S ribosomal RNA
Rfam family: Bacterial small subunit ribosomal RNA
Source: RNAcentral
UAGGGAAUUUUCGUCUUAAUGGGGGCAACCCUGAACGAGCAAUGCCGCGUGAGCGAAGAAGGUCUUCGGAUUGUAAAGCUCUGUUGCCGGGGAAAAAGGAAGGAAAGAGGAAAUGCUUUUCUUUGGAUGGUACCCGGCCAGAAAGUCACGGCUAACUACGUGCC